This 296-nucleotide ribosomal RNA is filed under the name Proteomonas sulcata. Its description in RNAcentral is "partial Bacterial small subunit ribosomal RNA". It matches the Rfam family "Bacterial small subunit ribosomal RNA", at positions 1075 to 1392 of the family's 1533-position model. Lineage: Eukaryota; Cryptophyceae; Pyrenomonadales; Geminigeraceae. The record is from RNAcentral.
UUGGGUUAAGUCCCGCAACGAGCGCAACCCUCGCCGUUAGUUGCCAGCACGUUUGGGUGGGCACUCUAACGGGACUGCCGGUGUCAAACCGGAGGAAGGUGGGGAUGACGUCAAGUCCUCAUGGCCCUUACGGGUUGGGCUACACACGUGCUACAAUGGCAGUGACAAUGAGUUAAUCUCUAAAAGCUGUCUCAGUUCGAAUUGGGGUCUGCAACUCGACCCCAUGAAGUCGGAAUCGCUAGUAAUCGCGAAUCAGAAUGUCGCGGUGAAUACGUUCCCGGGCCUUGUACACACCG